Molecule: ribosomal RNA, 144 nt
Filed under: uncultured Leptolinea sp.
Lineage: Bacteria; Bacillati; Chloroflexota; Anaerolineae; Anaerolineales; Anaerolineaceae
Description: partial 16S ribosomal RNA
Rfam family: Bacterial small subunit ribosomal RNA
Source: RNAcentral
UACAAUAGGUUGCGAAACCGCGAGGUGGAGCCAAUCCUCAAAGUCUGUCUCAGUUCAGAUUGUAGGCUGCAACUCGCCUGCAUGAAGUUGGAGUUGCUAGUAAACGCAGGUCAGCUAUACUGCGUUGAAUACGUUCCCGGGUUU